GCGUGUUUCCCCUUUUGCAUAAUUGCCAGCCAAGACAUUUUCGAAAGAAAAGGCACACGCUUCUUCUUGGAAGUUCUUGGGAGUUUCCAAGGCCCAAGCUGCGCCUCAAGGCAACUACAGCGAUUCCGUCAAUCAUGCUGCAGUUUACGAGCGACUCCUGAUAAUGGGAUGAUACUCGGUAACCACCUUGAGGAUUUUACCUCUGAGUGUUCACCACCGUACAUGAGCCAGCCUGGGCUCCCUGGAUCGUCCAGCGUUCACUUAGAGCUGUUGUUAUAGGCACUUGGGAUAGAACCAGCAUCCAUGAAGAUCAUUGUGGGACAAGCAAGAUACGAUCCAGUGCAGUCAGUGUGUGUAUGACAGUCUCAUUUGACUACUCACCGGCUUCUUGGCUUUUGGUAGCAGACAGACGCAGCUCCCAGGAAAACUGGCAUUCUGCCGAACAAGAAAAGAGCAGCCGCGAUCUUGCAGGUGUGUGCACGAGCUGGCCGCAUUCCUUUGUGUCUGCUGUUCAUCACUUCUCGCCGGUGAAAGGAAAGAGGAUGUUGGGAUGGGUCCAGAGGACAGUGAAUGUCAGAAAGAUCCCGAAACGCUGCGAACAGCAGACACCGAACCCAACCCUGCUUUCUGUACAGAAGCAUCAGAUGCAGUGGAAGAUGUGAAAUCUGGCGUCUAGUUCAGCUUGACAUCACACAUGCAUUGACAAAACACUCAUUUACAUCAAACAGGACGGUCUCUACCUGAAUCAAAGUGAAGUCAAAAUUCAAAAUUGGAUUGGGUCAUCAUAUAAAUACAGAGUCCUCUUUUGGUUCCUUUGGGGAGGAGAGCUGGUCCUGUGGUAGCAAGCAUGAAUUGCCCCCUUUGCUAAGCAGGGACGAUCCUGGUUUGCAUUUGAAUGGGAGACGACAUGCGUGAGCACCGUAAGAUAUUCCCCUGAGGGGAUGGAGCCACUCUGGGAAGAGCCCCUGCCUGCUUGCAUGCAGAAGGUCCCAAGUUCCCUCCCUGGCUUCUCCAAGAUAGGGCUGAGAGAGAUUCCCGCCUGCAACCUUGGAGGAGCCGCUGCCAGUCUGUGUAGACAAUACUGAGCUAGAUGGACCAAGGGUCAGACUCCGUAUAUGGCAGCUUCCUGUGUUCGUAUGGUUCAAUAGAGGUAUAACUUGUAUCUAACUAACUUGUAUAUUUUUUUAAGGAGGUUGCCUUAAAUUCAGAGUUGUCUUCUAUUUGGGUAAAUAGAGUUCUACAGUCUUUGGGAA
Hemicordylus capensis (graceful crag lizard) is the source of this 1253-nucleotide long non-coding RNA. RefSeq lists it as uncharacterized. The record is from RefSeq and is a predicted model, not a curated record. NCBI's taxonomy places the organism in Eukaryota, Metazoa, Chordata, Lepidosauria, Squamata, Cordylidae. The transcript has 2 exons.